This 1597-nucleotide ribosomal RNA is filed under the name Escherichia coli. Its description in RNAcentral is "partial 23S ribosomal RNA". It matches the Rfam family "Bacterial large subunit ribosomal RNA", at positions 419 to 2001 of the family's 2925-position model. Lineage: Bacteria; Pseudomonadati; Pseudomonadota; Gammaproteobacteria; Enterobacterales; Enterobacteriaceae. The record is from RNAcentral.
GGGACACGUGGUAUCCUGUCUGAAUAUGGGGGGACCAUCCUCCAAGGCUAAAUACUCCUGACUGACCGAUAGUGAACCAGUACCGUGAGGGAAAGGCGAAAAGAACCCCGGCGAGGGGAGUGAAAAAGAACCUGAAACCGUGUACGUACAAGCAGUGGGAGCACGCUUAGGCGUGUGACUGCGUACCUUUUGUAUAAUGGGUCAGCGACUUAUAUUCUGUAGCAAGGUUAACCGAAUAGGGGAGCCGAAGGGAAACCGAGUCUUAACUGGGCGUUAAGUUGCAGGGUAUAGACCCGAAACCCGGUGAUCUAGCCAUGGGCAGGUUGAAGGUUGGGUAACACUAACUGGAGGACCGAACCGACUAAUGUUGAAAAAUUAGCGGAUGACUUGUGGCUGGGGGUGAAAGGCCAAUCAAACCGGGAGAUAGCUGGUUCUCCCCGAAAGCUAUUUAGGUAGCGCCUCGUGAAUUCAUCUCCGGGGGUAGAGCACUGUUUCGGCAAGGGGGUCAUCCCGACUUACCAACCCGAUGCAAACUGCGAAUACCGGAGAAUGUUAUCACGGGAGACACACGGCGGGUGCUAACGUCCGUCGUGAAGAGGGAAACAACCCAGACCGCCAGCUAAGGUCCCAAAGUCAUGGUUAAGUGGGAAACGAUGUGGGAAGGCCCAGACAGCCAGGAUGUUGGCUUAGAAGCAGCCAUCAUUUAAAGAAAGCGUAAUAGCUCACUGGUCGAGUCGGCCUGCGCGGAAGAUGUAACGGGGCUAAACCAUGCACCGAAGCUGCGGCAGCGACGCUUAUGCGUUGUUGGGUAGGGGAGCGUUCUGUAAGCCUGUGAAGGUGUGCUGUGAGGCAUGCUGGAGGUAUCAGAAGUGCGAAUGCUGACAUAAGUAACGAUAAAGCGGGUGAAAAGCCCGCUCGCCGGAAGACCAAGGGUUCCUGUCCAACGUUAAUCGGGGCAGGGUGAGUCGACCCCUAAGGCGAGGCCGAAAGGCGUAGUCGAUGGGAAACAGGUUAAUAUUCCUGUACUUGGUGUUACUGCGAAGGGGGGACGGAGAAGGCUAUGUUGGCCGGGCGACGGUUGUCCCGGUUUAAGCGUGUAGGCUGGUUUUCCAGGCAAAUCCGGAAAAUCAAGGCUGAGGCGUGAUGACGAGGCACUACGGUGCUGAAGCAACAAAUGCCCUGCUUCCAGGAAAAGCCUCUAAGCAUCAGGUAACAUCAAAUCGUACCCCAAACCGACACAGGUGGUCAGGUAGAGAAUACCAAGGCGCUUGAGAGAACUCGGGUGAAGGAACUAGGCAAAAUGGUGCCGUAACUUCGGGAGAAGGCACGCUGAUACGUAGGUGAAGUCCCUCGCGGAUGGAGCUGAAAUCAGUCGAAGAUACCAGCUGGCUGCAACUGUUUAUUAAAAACACAGCACUGUGCAAACACGAAAGUGGACGUAUACGGUGUGACGCCUGCCCGGUGCCGGAAGGUUAAUUGAUGGGGUCAGCGCAAGCGAAGCUCUUGAUCGAAGCCCCGGUAAACGGCGGCCGUAACUAUAACGGUCCUAAGGUAGCGAAAUUCCUUGUCGGGUAAGUUCCGACCUGCACGAAUGGCG